GUAGGGAAUAUUGCGCAAUGGGGGAAACCCUGACGCAGCGACGCCGCGUGAGUGAUGAAGGCCUUCGGGUCGUAAAGCUCUGUUGCAGGGGAAUAAAAAAAUGAAGGUACCCUGUGAGGAAGGAUCGGCUAACUUCGUGCCAGCAGCCGCGGUAAGACGAGGGAUCCUAGCGUUGCUCGGAGUCAUUGGGCGUAAAGAGGGCGUAGGUGGCUUGGUAAGUCAGGUGUGAAAGCCCAGGGCUCAACCCUGGAAGUGCAUUUGAUACUGCUGAGCUUGAGUGUCGGAGAGGUUACCGGAAUACCUGGUGUAGUGGUGAAAUACGUAGAUAUCAGGUGGAACACCGGAGGCGAAGGCGGGUAACUGGACGAACACUGACACUGAGGCCCGAAAGCGUGGGGAUCAAACAGGAUUAGAUACCCGAGUAGUCC
RNAcentral lists this ribosomal RNA (428 nucleotides) under uncultured bacterium. Its description in RNAcentral is "partial 16S ribosomal RNA". It matches the Rfam family "Bacterial small subunit ribosomal RNA", at positions 354 to 796 of the family's 1533-position model. The record is from RNAcentral.